Molecule: long non-coding RNA, 683 nt
Organism: Hordeum vulgare subsp. vulgare (domesticated barley)
Lineage: Eukaryota; Viridiplantae; Streptophyta; Magnoliopsida; Poales; Poaceae
Exons: 2
Source: RefSeq, a predicted model, not a curated record
GUGGGCUCGCUCAACACAGUUCCUGUCGCCUCGGACCAUCCUCUCCGAUGACGAUUGCGGGGGCGGCGGCAGCAAUGGCGACGGUGCCGGAGGGAUGACCGGGUGGUGAGGGCCACUCCCCUCUCUCGUACGUGGAGUACUUCCCCCUUUCCCUCUUCAUGCAGUAGCGACCAGGAGGCAAAUUGGACACUGCAAGUCUACAACGAUACGGUGCGAGCGCGGGGGCGGCAACGACCUUCUCCGGCAUCCCUCUCCAUCGCCGGCGGUCUUCUUUCUAGUUUUUUUUGAUUUUUUCGGAACGGGGCUAAGAAGGAGGAAGAAGUCCAAGAAAGGAGAUGAAUGGAAAGUGGGAGCUUGCAUACUAAAGGGGGUGUUGUAGUAGACCUUCGCUCGGAAGUGAGAUCAAUUUGAGGAGGGGCUCAACGCUGCUGAGGAACAACACUCAAGAGUAUCCUUUAAGAUCCAGCCCUGUUUCUCGACAUUCUUUUCUAUAUUGGAUGAACUGUUCCUUCUUCCUUCUUUGGAGCUCCAUUGCUACACAAAAAAGGAGCCAUGUGCCCGUGUCCAGCCGUUUUCACUUCGUGGUAUUGGGAUGCUGCUACUGUAUUAGAAUGGUCAUCCCAUCAUUGUGAAUCUGUUGUAUUGCAGAAUAAGGCACAGAACGAAACCAGAAUAAGGCACAA